UCGGUUCCGCAACUAAGUCAUUAAGUAACCCACAUGGGGAGUUCGUCCGCAAGGGUAAAACUCAAACGAAUGGAAGGGGGACCGCACAUGCGGCGGAGCAUGUCGAUUAAUUGAACGCAACGCGAAGAUCGUUCCUAAGGCUUGACCUUCACCGGAAACGUAAGGAGACAGACGCCCCCUGAUAGUCGGCGUUCAGGUGGGACAUGGCUGUCGUCAGCUCAUGUCGUGAGAUGUUGGGUUAAGUUGAGCAACGAGCGCAGUCCUUGUCCCGUGUUGCCAGCAGGCCCUUGUGGUGCUGGGGACUCACGGGAGGCCUCCGGGGUCAACUCGGAGGAAGGUGGGGAGGAAGUCAAGUCAUCAUGCCCGUCAUGUUUUGGGUUGCACACGUGGUUCAACGGCUGGUACAAUGAGUGGUGAUACCGGGAGGUGGAGAGAAUCUCAAAAACAAGGUCUCAGUUCGGAUUGGGGUUUGCAUCUGGAUCCCCUGAAGUAGGAGUCGAUAGUAAUUGCAGAUCAACACUGGUAUCGGGAAUAAGUUCCCGGACCUUUACACGCCGCCCGUCACGUCACCAAACUAGGUAACACCCGAAGCCUGUGGCCCAACCCCUAUGCAAGGAGC
RNAcentral lists this ribosomal RNA (619 nucleotides) under Streptomyces sp. S2(2015b). Its description in RNAcentral is "bacterial SSU rRNA". It matches the Rfam family "Bacterial small subunit ribosomal RNA", at positions 840 to 1453 of the family's 1533-position model. The record is from RNAcentral. Lineage: Bacteria; Bacillati; Actinomycetota; Actinomycetes; Kitasatosporales; Streptomycetaceae.